UACGGAGGAUCCGAGCGUUAUCCGGAUUUAUUGGGUUUAAAGCGUGCGCAGGCGGUUAUAUAAGUCAGAUGUGAAAUCCCCGGGCUCAACCUGGGACCUGCAUUUGAGACUGUAUAGCUAGAGUACGGUAGAGGGGGAUGGAAUUCCGCGUGUAGCAGUGAAAUGCGUAGAUAUGCGGAGGAACACCGAUGGCGAAGGCAAUCCCCUGGACCUGUACUGACGCUCAUGCACGAAAGCGUGGGGAGCAAACAGGAUUAGAUACCCUGGUAGUCCACGCCCUAAACGAUGUCAACUGGUUGUUGGGUCUUCACUGACUCAGUAACGAAGCUAACGCGUGAAGUUGACCGCCUGGGGAGUACGGCCGCAAGGUUGAA
RNAcentral lists this ribosomal RNA (374 nucleotides) under uncultured bacterium. RNAcentral's name for it is "bacterial SSU rRNA". It matches the Rfam family "Bacterial small subunit ribosomal RNA", at positions 524 to 898 of the family's 1533-position model. The record is from RNAcentral.